UACCAUGAUGAACGCACACGUAUUAUAUACGCUGGAAAUUACCGUCUCAGACUUUCGGGUCGUUGAUGAUAACUAAUGGCUAUUACUGAAC
This is a non-coding RNA of Penicillium arizonense, 91 nucleotides long. NCBI's taxonomy places the organism in Eukaryota, Fungi, Ascomycota, Eurotiomycetes, Eurotiales, Aspergillaceae. The record is from Rfam.